Molecule: transfer RNA, 73 nt
Filed under: Capra hircus (goat)
Lineage: Eukaryota; Metazoa; Chordata; Mammalia; Artiodactyla; Bovidae
Also listed under: 1 other name
Rfam family: tRNA
About the family: Transfer RNA (tRNA) molecules are approximately 80 nucleotides in length.
Source: Rfam by way of RNAcentral
UCCCCGACAGUCCAGUGGCAAAGACUCUAUACUCCCAAUGCAGGGGGCCUGGGUUUGAUCCCUGGUUGGGGAA